CCUACGGGAGGCAGCAGUGGGGAAUAUUGCACAAUGGGCGCAAGCCUGAUGCAGCCAUGCCGCGUGUAUGAAGAAGGCCUUCGGGUUGUAAAGUACUUUCAGCGGGGAGGAAGGUGUUGUGGUUAGUAACCGCAGCAAUUGACGUUACCCGCAGAAGAAGCACCGGCUAACUCCGUGCCAGCAGCCGCGGUAAU
This 194-nucleotide ribosomal RNA is filed under the name uncultured bacterium. RNAcentral describes it as "partial 16S ribosomal RNA". It matches the Rfam family "Bacterial small subunit ribosomal RNA", at positions 338 to 524 of the family's 1533-position model. The record is from RNAcentral.